CAUUUUGGAUGAACGGUGAUGAACUAGAUCAUAUAGCAGUGAAAGAUGGAAUGACUCUUCCAUCUCCAAGUUAUAAGGCCCCUCAAAAAUUCAAAGCCAUCUUGUCUUGAAUCAUCCAUGUCUUUGUAUCAAGCAACUCUUCCCAAGUUGAAAUAUAAACUUAAAGAAUUAUACUUGUCUGGAAGUUCAAAUUUAAUCUUUUUAAGAGUGGAGG
RNAcentral lists this long non-coding RNA (214 nucleotides) under Elaeis guineensis (African oil palm). RNAcentral's name for it is "long non-coding RNA (EGUI_LNC020872)". The record is from RNAcentral. Lineage: Eukaryota; Viridiplantae; Streptophyta; Magnoliopsida; Arecales; Arecaceae.